GACGAACGCUGGCGGCGUGCCUAAUACAUGCAAGUCGAGCGAAGUUUUUCUGGUGCUUGCACCGGAAAAACUUAGCGGCGAACGGGUGAGUAACACGUAAAGAACCUGCCUUAUAGACUGGGACAACUAUUGGAAACGAUAGCUAAUACCGGAUAACAGCAUUAACUGCAUGGUUGAUGUUUGAAAGUUGGUUUUGCUAACACUAUGAGAUGGCUUUGCGGUGCAUUAGCUAGUUGGUGGGGUAAAGGCCUACCAAGGCGACGAUGCAUAGCCGACCUGAGAGGGUGAUCGGCCACACUGGGACUGGGACACGGCCCAGACUCCUACGGGAGGCAGCAGUAGGGAAUCUUCCGCAAUGGGCGAAAGCCUGACGGAGCAACGCCGCGUGAGUGAAGAAGGAUUUCGGUUCGUAAAGCUCUGUUGUUAGGGAAGAAUGAUUGUGUAGUAACUAUACACAGUAGAGACGGUACCUAACCAGAAAGCCACGGCUAACUACGUG
Molecule: ribosomal RNA, 499 nt
Filed under: uncultured bacterium
Lineage: Bacteria
Description: partial 16S ribosomal RNA
Rfam family: Bacterial small subunit ribosomal RNA
Source: RNAcentral